This 301-nucleotide ribosomal RNA is filed under the name uncultured bacterium. Its description in RNAcentral is "partial 16S ribosomal RNA". It matches the Rfam family "Bacterial small subunit ribosomal RNA", at positions 509 to 807 of the family's 1533-position model. The record is from RNAcentral.
CAGUAGCCGCGGUAAUACGUAGGUGGCAAGCGUUGUCCGGAAUUAUUGGGCGUAAAGGGCUCGCAGGCGGUUUCUCAAGUCUGAUGUGAAAGCCCCCGGCUCAACCGGGGAGGGUCAUUGGAAACUGGGAAACUUGAGUGCAGAAGAGGAGAGUGGAAUUCCACGUGUAGCGGUGAAAUGCGUAGAGAUGUGGAGGAACACCAGUGGCGAAGGCGACUCUCUGGUCUGUAACUGACGCUGAGGAGCGAAAGCGUGGGGAACGAACAGGAUUAGAUACCCCUGUAGUCCCUGUCUCUUAUAC